UCCCUGCUGGCUCAGAUGGUAAAGCUUCUGCCUGCAAUGCAGGAGACCCAGGUUCAAUCCCUGGGUUGGAAG
Molecule: transfer RNA, 72 nt
Filed under: Bos taurus (domestic cattle)
Lineage: Eukaryota; Metazoa; Chordata; Mammalia; Artiodactyla; Bovidae
Also listed under: 4 other names
Rfam family: tRNA
About the family: Transfer RNA (tRNA) molecules are approximately 80 nucleotides in length. Their secondary structure includes four short double-helical elements and three loops (D, anti-codon, and T loops).
Source: Rfam by way of RNAcentral